GGUCGUGGCUCAGAGGUAGAGCACACGCCUAGCAUGAGUGAGGCACUGGGUUCGAUUCUCAGCACCA
RNAcentral lists this transfer RNA (67 nucleotides) under Ictidomys tridecemlineatus (thirteen-lined ground squirrel). RNAcentral describes it as "Spermophilus tridecemlineatus (thirteen-lined ground squirrel) tRNA". It matches the Rfam family "tRNA". From Rfam's summary of the family: Transfer RNA (tRNA) molecules are approximately 80 nucleotides in length. Their secondary structure includes four short double-helical elements and three loops (D, anti-codon, and T loops). Lineage: Eukaryota; Metazoa; Chordata; Mammalia; Rodentia; Sciuridae. The record is from Rfam by way of RNAcentral.